RNAcentral lists this non-coding RNA (28 nucleotides) under Mus musculus (house mouse). Lineage: Eukaryota; Metazoa; Chordata; Mammalia; Rodentia; Muridae. The record is from RNAcentral.
UAGUAAAGGCUGCUACAGACAUGAAGGC